UGACGGUACCUGACUAAGAAGCCCCGGCUAACUACGUGCCAGCAGCCGCGGUAAUACGUAGGGGGCAAGCGUUAUCCGGAUUUACUGGGUGUAAAGGGAGCGUAGACGGCUUUGCAAGUCUGAUGUGAAAGGCAGGGGCUCAACUCCUGGACUGCAUUGGAAACUGCAGAGCUUGAGUGCCGGAGGGGUAAGCGGAAUUCCUAGUGUAGCGGUGAAAUGCGUAGAUAUUAGGAGGAACACCAGUGGCGAAGGCGGCUUACUGGACGGUAACUGACGUUGAGGCUCGAAAGCGUGGGGAGCAAACAGGAUUAGAUACCCUG
Molecule: ribosomal RNA, 320 nt
Filed under: uncultured bacterium
Lineage: Bacteria
Description: bacterial SSU rRNA
Rfam family: Bacterial small subunit ribosomal RNA
Source: RNAcentral